This 495-nucleotide ribosomal RNA is filed under the name uncultured bacterium. RNAcentral's name for it is "partial 16S ribosomal RNA". It matches the Rfam family "Bacterial small subunit ribosomal RNA", at positions 28 to 507 of the family's 1533-position model. The record is from RNAcentral.
GACGAACGCUGGCGGCGUGCCUAACACAUGCAAGUCGAACGCUAAGGGCGGAGCUUGCUUCUCUGGAUGAGUUGCGAACGGGUGAGUAGCGCGUAAGUAACCUGCCUGGUAGCGGGGGAUCACUAUUGGUAAUGCUAGCUCAUACCGCAUAAUAGUAGUUGUUGCAUGAGGUUUGCUAAAUAGGUGCGAUUGCGUUGCUACCAGAUGCUAUUGCGUUGUAUUAGCUGGUUGGGGGGGUAACGGCUCACCAAGGUGGCGAUACAGAGACGACCUGAGAGGGUGAUCGGCCACACUGGGACGGAGACACGGCCCAGACGCCUACGGGAGGCAGCAGGAGGGAAUCUUCGGCAAUGGACGGAAGUCUGACCGAGCAACGCCGCGUGAGUGAAGAAGGUUUUCGGAUCGUAAAGCUCUGUUGUAAGAGAAGAACGAGUGUGAGAGUGGAAAGUGCACACUGUGACGGUAUCUUACCAGAAAGGGACGGCUAACUACGUG